AACUUUCAACAACGGAUCUCUUGGUUCUCGCAUCGAUGAAGAGCGCAGCGAAAUGCGAUACCUAGUGUGAAUUGCAGCCAUCGUGAAUCAUCGAGUUCUUGAACGCACAUUGCGCCCUCCGGCAUUCCGGGGGGCAUGCCUGUUUGAGCGU
Molecule: ribosomal RNA, 151 nt
Filed under: Pichia norvegensis
Lineage: Eukaryota; Fungi; Ascomycota; Pichiomycetes; Pichiales; Pichiaceae
Description: 5.8S ribosomal RNA
Rfam family: 5.8S ribosomal RNA
About the family: 5.8S ribosomal RNA (5.8S rRNA) is a component of the large subunit of the eukaryotic ribosome. It is transcribed by RNA polymerase I as part of the 45S precursor that also contains 18S and 28S rRNA.
Source: RNAcentral